Molecule: long non-coding RNA, 1051 nt
Filed under: Anas platyrhynchos platyrhynchos (common mallard)
Lineage: Eukaryota; Metazoa; Chordata; Aves; Anseriformes; Anatidae
Description: lncRNA (ENSAPLG00000022297.1)
Source: RNAcentral
UGGAAGGAGCCAUAAAAACUGUAUAGCUCCAAGCCCCCUGCCUUGGGCAGGAAAGUUUGCGCUUCAGGAGGGGUAAGAUUAGCAAUAGAAGUUCAGACAAAGAAAUUCUGGUUAGUUUGACAUAAUCUAGUAGGUAGUCUGUUUAUUCAGGAACUCACAUACACUUGCAUAAAGUUUUAAGGGAAUGAAAGCAUGAAUUUCAGUCCAAAAGAAGUGGCAGCAGGAGGGCUGGACACUUCAGCAACAUGAGCAACACCUUGAAGAUGUGGGACUCCUAGGAAGAUGCAACACUGGGUGCAGUUCUGGAAGGAGGAGGUGCUGGUCCUUACCACAAUGACAGACAGCUCAGUGAUAAACUCAGAAGAAACCUGUAUCUUCUAUGGAAGCAUGGUGCUGCCCAUGCUUUGCAGAACUUAAGAAUAACAGAGAAUUGAUAGAUUAACUAUUUCAGUGGUAAGUGCUCAUCACUCUUACAGUUUAAGCUACUGAUGUAACUUUUAUUAAGAGACAAAGCUAAAAAUUCUACAGUCUGAUACUGAUGGAAUUGGAGUGCUUGAGACUAAAGUCAAGCUCUGCUGCUUCAGUAACUAAGCAGGGGUAUUUCUUAGCCUAAAAAUACUGUGUUCAACAUCAGGAAGUCACAUUAUAUCAGCUUAAUAUUAAAUUAAAGUUCUUUCAUAUACAUCAUUAUCUCCUACCAUAAGACGUGCAGCUGUUCAUGCAAUCUGCACCCAGUCAAUAGUUUGUGACAUAUCUUGAGCAAGUAUUUUAUCAAAAAAAACAACAUGUCUAACUUUGUAGCCAUCAAUUUGGAAUUUCUCCUAUGUAUUUGUUAAUAGAUGUAUUCCUUUGUAUGCUGUAUUCCAGCAGUGUCAUAUUUAUGUUCCAGCAAUUACCCACACUUAAUGCUCCUUUGUGACCUUUAUGCAUGUAAGGAGCAAUGAAAACGCACUUGGGACUUGUAAAUGUCAUGGUCAAGUUUAAUCUUUCAUGAUUGUAAGAAGCUAAGCAUGCAUAAUGAAAAAUAGUGAAAUAAUUGCUUCUUAACCUG